AACGAACGCUGGCGGCAGGCUUAACACAUGCAAGUCGAGGGGUAUAGUUUUUCGGAACUAGAGACCGGCGCACGGGUGCGUAACGCGUAUGCAAUCUACCUUUUGCAGAGGGAUAGCCCAGAGAAAUUUGGAUUAAUACCUCAUAGUAUAGCGACAUCGCAUGAUGAUGCUAUUAAAGUCACAACGGCAAAAGAUGAGCAUGCGUCCCAUUAGCUAGUUGGUAAGGUAACGGCUUACCAAGGCAACGAUGGGUAGGGGUCCUGAGAGGGAGAUCCCCCACACUGGUACUGAGACACGGACCAGACUCCUACGGGAGGCAGCAGUGAGGAAUAUUGGACAAGUGGGCGCAAGCCUGAUCCAGCCAUGCCGCGUGCAGGAUGACGGUCCUAUGGAUUGUAAACUGCUUUUAUGCGAGAAGAAACACUCCAAACGUGUUGGAGCUUGACGGUAUCGUAAAGAAUAAGGAUCGGCUAACUCCGUGCC
Molecule: ribosomal RNA, 483 nt
Filed under: uncultured bacterium
Lineage: Bacteria
Description: bacterial SSU rRNA
Rfam family: Bacterial small subunit ribosomal RNA
Source: RNAcentral